Non-coding RNA from Peromyscus maniculatus bairdii (prairie deer mouse), 913 nucleotides. The record is from RefSeq and is a predicted model, not a curated record. NCBI's taxonomy places the organism in Eukaryota, Metazoa, Chordata, Mammalia, Rodentia, Cricetidae.
AGAUUCGGCAUCCUGGAAACGUUUGGUAACACAUGUACCCACCGUGAAUUGCUGUAUCACAAAAAAACCAACUGUGCCGGGUUUUCCAAGGAGGCUCUCCACACCACACCACCCUGCCACUGCCAGAAGCCUCUGGAAAGGACCUACAGAAGUGUGUCUUAGCAAGGGGUACCAGUGUGGCCUUCGCAAGUCACCUAUCCCUUUAAUUUGCAAAGGUAUUCAGAAUGCUUCUACUCCACAAACCAACUAGAACCCCAGCGAUAAAUGUCAGCACCUUAUGGGCCGCCUCAGUUUCCCCCUCCAAGACUCAGGCCCUCCCCCUACGAUCACUACCUGAUGCCAUGGAAAUCAGCAUGUGACCGCAGGCCACCUCGAUUCUUCAGCGGUUCCAGGGUCCUAUGGCUAGCCUUAUCUGAUGAGAUGGAAAGCUCACGGGUGGCGAGUGACUGCUUCUAUCGACUAAUGUGUGCCAGACAAUGUCGAUGGAGGGUUAAGACAUGGCCCCUAUCUUCAAGUAUCUCACGGAAGGAAAAAAAAAAAAAACGAUCCUGUGCAAAACUAAGCGCAGUCACAGAGAUGUAAACAGGAGCCAAGGCGCCGAGAACAGAGCGGCUUCAGCGGCAGGGUCCCGGUGGACUUAGGAGGCUGCAUAGAUACCUCUCUGCUGCCACACAGCAGGGGAGACUGUCCUGGGACCGUUUGCACAAAAUCAAGUUCAAGUUGCAGGAGCUGGCGGCACCCAUUGGCAGGCACUGGUUGUGACUCUCCAGUAUUCCCCUACAGAACCAAGAGGACGGUCCUGGUUUUCGGAAACGAAACAGAGUGUUCAAAACUUGCAUCCUAGAAAAUCCGAGAUACUGGUGACUUUGGCUACAAUUAUUGUAAAAUUAAACAUUUUAUGUUUGGCACUUAA